RNAcentral lists this long non-coding RNA (715 nucleotides) under Gossypium barbadense (sea-island cotton). RNAcentral's name for it is "long non-coding RNA (GBAR_LNC023451)". Lineage: Eukaryota; Viridiplantae; Streptophyta; Magnoliopsida; Malvales; Malvaceae. The record is from RNAcentral.
CUAAGGUGGAUUGGUGUUGAUGUCAUUUCCAUGCUAAAAGUGAAGCUUUGUAAUGAUGCAUGUGAUGGUGGAUUGAUGACUCUUGAAUCUUCUUUUUAGCAUUUUUGAGUGAGACAUUAAGUUCUUUGUUUAACCAUGACCAAAAUUGAAAUGGUAUGGUGUUGUGAUGCAUUCGGCCAUGGUAGGAAGUAGAAGAGAAAUGUGGUUGUUGUUCACGUUAUUUAGAUGAGAAAUGGUAGUAAGGUGAAGUGAAAAUGUUAGUGUUUGAUUUACUAGUGUGUAUAUGUGUAUUAGCCGAGUUUUGAAUUUGAAACAAAAUGGUAUGUAGUCAAUACAAGUAACCAUAUUUGUAGGAAGUAUUAAGCAUAUACUCGGCCUCAACCUAGACAUGUAUAUUAGGCCACAUGAGAUAGGUUGGUGUUGCAUGUGUUCGGUUAGAGGCAAGCAUAUUGAUGCUUUUAUCUUGGCUUAGAUAAUCGGCUAAAAGAGAGUGUGGGCUAAAAUGUUGAGUUUGAUUCAUGAUUUCCAUAUAUAUAUGUGACUUUAAUGCCUAAUGUAUAUAUGGGAUAAGUACCUUGAGGUUCUCUUUUGAUGUUCAAAUGAAUUGUGUUAAAUUGCUUAAUGUGAUUAAAAAUGCGCAUGACCAUUGUGUAUUUGAGCUAAAAGGUGGCCAUAUGACCUAUCAAGCUCCUUGUCAUAUUCGGCCAUAAGCUAG